AGCAGCCGCGGUAAUUCCAGCUCCAAUAGCGUAUAUUAAAGUUGCUGCAGUUAAAAAGCUCGUAGUUGAAUUUCGGGACUAAUAUGUUGGUCGUGCCUCGGUACGUACUGAUAUUUUUGGUUUCUCCCUUCUGACGAACCUUGAUGUCAUUAAUUUGGUGUCUUGGGAAAUCAGGACUGUUACUUUGAAAAAAUUAGAGUGUUUAAAGCAGGCUCACGCUUGAAUACAUUAGCAUGGAAUAAUGAAAUAGGACGUUUGAUUCUAUUUUGUUGGUUUCUAGGAUCGACGUAAUGAUUAAUAGGGAUAGUUGGGGGCAUUAGUAUUCAAUUGUCAGAGGUGAAAUUCUUGGAUUUAUUGAAGACUAACUACUGCGAAAGCAUUUGCCAAGGAUGUUUUCAUUAAUCAAGAACGAAAGUUAGGGGAUCGAAGACGAUCAGAUACCGUCGUAGUCUUAACCAUAAACUAUGCCGACUAGGGAUCGGAUGAUGUAAUUUUUAAUGACUCAUUCGGCGCCUUACGG
RNAcentral lists this ribosomal RNA (520 nucleotides) under uncultured Glomus. RNAcentral's name for it is "SSU rRNA". It matches the Rfam family "Eukaryotic small subunit ribosomal RNA", at positions 569 to 1093 of the family's 1831-position model. The record is from RNAcentral. Lineage: Eukaryota; Fungi; Glomeromycota; Glomeromycetes; Glomerales; Glomeraceae.